GAUAGUUGGUGUGACAGCUUAAAUAUUCCCAUUUAUUUCUCAUUCAAGUCAGUUUUAGUAGCCCAUGGACAACCUACCUUAGGAGGUCACCAGCUGGUGUACUCCUAUUGCUGGUCUCAAGUCCAGAUAAAUUGGAGGUCUGCAUGAGGGCAUCAAAUGUUAUAACAACUCCGUGCCAAAUAAAAAAGUGUUGAUUCAUACACUAUGGCAAACUUGAGGAAGUAAUGGAGCAGCUGUCUUACUUAGUGUUGGUCGUUUAUAAGGUGGCAGGUUCUCUGAAGAAGAUUUGGAGUGCUGACGUUUAUAGUUAUUCAUCAGGAGGGUUUCUGGGAUGUUUGUGUUUAGUAAAGUAAAAUAUUUUUGCAUCAUAGAAAAAGAACCUAAAGUGAAAUUACCCACAAAUCAUUCUAUCAAUGGGAGUCCUUACCUGUUAAAGGUAUUGUAAUUUGUUUUUAGAGUUAUUCAGUCUGACAUGUCAGAUAAAAUAAAUUUCAGCUUUGUUCAAACAGACUUUGCCAAUGAGAUGUUAGUUUUCAAUAAUAUCUAUAACAUAUUUCUGAGAGAUGAGAUCUGCUUUUGAUAUCAGAGAGUCAGGUUUCAUCAGGAGGGUUUCUGGGAUGUUUGUGUUUAGUAAAGUAAAAUAUUUUACUUACAGCUGUUACACAUCAUGACUUGAGUUGCUUUGAAGCCCUUUGAUGUUCAAACGUCUUACAGGGUCCAGACUAAUUUUUCUAUGUUGUGCCAGAUGGCUGUAUGGUACAACCAACAGUCCUUGGACACCUCAUGUUCAGAGCAGUAUUUUGUGCACAGAAGCUCUGUUCCUAGCUAAGUUCAAUGUCAAACUCAUGGUGGGAAAAACAACACCUGGAUGGUGGAACAGGUGAACUAACUGGUGUGCAUUCGAAUUCAGAUGGUGUUAAUAAGUGUUACUUUAACCCAGCAAUAGCGGUUCCCAUAUACAAUCUGUGGGAGGGUUUAUUUGAACUCUCAGACUUUUUUUUUUAUUUUUUCUUUAUUUUGCUGUGUGUUGUUUCUAGUUUUCCAACUAAUCUUAAUUCUGUGCUCUCAGAAUGUGCAAGUCUGGUUUUUAAAUUUUUCUAUUUCAGUCAGGGUAAAACAAUCAUUCUAAUAAUCACUGAUCAAAAAGUAUUAACCAAAGAAUUUCUUUUGGAUUUUAUCUAAAAGGCUGUAAUUGGGUUUUCACUUAUGAUCACUUAGGCUUUGAAUGUUUAAAGGGAGAAAAGUUUUAUAGCAACAUAAGAUGGAUUUUGAGUUGCCAUGUAAAUCUACUCCAGUGGAGUCAGAGAAUUAAAAAUAUGAAUUUUGAAAUCAGCAUUUAAUCUCAUUUAUGUCAUUUAUGUGCAUGUUUGCAUAGCAGACACAUAAUUCUGUGGCUUAAGAGACUUUAGAUGUUGAUCCAUCAAGCAGAACCUCCAGGGAAGCAUCUGAUCCUAAAUCCCGCUGCAGCACAACAGAAAGCCCAAACAUACUGCCCGACUCAGCAACAAGAGGAGAAGGAGCUUUAGCAGAUGGUGGAUCCCACUGAGCUCUGAUCUUCGCAUAUUCAGUCUGGAGUUACAUGAAAAGACAGAAGAUACUGAGACAAACUAAAUCCAAGGAGGGGCUUUCAAGCUCCUUUGGGAAGCUUUCUAGUAGCAUGAAAAACUGUGCAAGUGUGGCGUUUAAAGGAACUAAUAUCACCACUGGGUGACAGUGUUUCACCAGAAGGUGUUUGUGUAGCUGUAGAAGAAACAAGGAAAUCCUGUAUUAGAUCAGGGCCGUGCAGUGGUUUGCAUGGUCACCUUACUGCAACAAGGUUGUGGGUUCAGACUUCCUGGUCAAUGAGUCCCUUUUAUGUAGUUUGCAUGUUCUACCACAGUUCAAACACAUACUUUUUUUUUAAUCUUAACUGUAGAUUCUAGAUCAGCCAUAGGUGUGGACAUGAGAGUAAGGAGUUCUCUCUUUUGGCUGGACCUGAUAGACUGGCAAC
Molecule: long non-coding RNA, 1990 nt
Organism: Astatotilapia calliptera (eastern happy)
Lineage: Eukaryota; Metazoa; Chordata; Actinopteri; Cichliformes; Cichlidae
Source: Ensembl